UAGGGAAUCUUGGACAAUGGGCGAAAGCCUGAUCCAGCCAUGCCGCGUGAGUGAUGAAGGCCUUAGGGUUGUAAAGCUCUUUCGCCAGGGAAGAUAAUGACGGUACCUGGAUAAGAAGCCCCGGCUAACUUCGUGCCAGCAGCCGCGGUAAUACGACGGGGGCUAGCGUUGUUCGGAAUUACUGGGCGUAAAGCGCACGUAGGCGGCUUUCCAAGUUGGAGGUGAAAUCCCCGGGCUUAACCCGGGAACUGCCUCCAAAACUGAAAGGCUAGAGUCCGAGAGAGGUGAGUGGAAUUUCCAGUGUAGGGGUGAAAUUCGUAGAUAUUGGAAAGAACACCAGUGGCGAAGGCGGCUCACUGGCUCGGUACUGACGCUGAGGUGCGACAGCGUGGGGAGCAAACA
Molecule: ribosomal RNA, 402 nt
Filed under: uncultured bacterium
Lineage: Bacteria
Description: bacterial SSU rRNA
Rfam family: Bacterial small subunit ribosomal RNA
Source: RNAcentral